Long non-coding RNA from Scophthalmus maximus (turbot), 1479 nucleotides. RefSeq lists it as uncharacterized. NCBI's taxonomy places the organism in Eukaryota, Metazoa, Chordata, Actinopteri, Pleuronectiformes, Scophthalmidae. The transcript is spliced from 3 exons. The record is from RefSeq and is a predicted model, not a curated record.
UUCAUUGCAGCAGCUCUCAACUGAACCCACUUUUUUUUCCCAAUGACUUCAAUGUCCCAGAUCUGUCUUUGACUCAACGUCAUCUCCGAGUGUGUUCCUGUGUGUGUGUUGUUGUUGUUGUUCCACACACACACACACACACACACACACGCCCACACACGUGUGUUUCCGCCGCCUCACAUUAUUAUUACCCUGCUCAGACAUUAACAUUUCAUGGGAGAUUCUGAGGUUUGUCUACUGGAUCUCAUCAAAUUUUCAUCCUUGAUUACGGAGGCAGAGCUGGAGGGAGAUUCCCUGCGUCCACGACACGUCAUUGGUCAUUUUGAAUAACGGUGAACACGGAAACUCAACACUGAAGAGUUUGAUGCUCUGCAGAGGAAACAACCAGGUGUCGGACUGAGACGUGACGAACAGCUCACGGCCAAUCAUCAAUCAUCAAGAGACUGUCAGGGUCCAGACUGGAGAACAGGUAUAAAAUGGCUGCAGCACAAGCGGAGGUGUCGUAACCUCGUGCCUCCAUUACCCACGAUGCACUGUGUCAUGGCGGGCUGCGGAGCUCUGGUAGGUCCUCGCCCUCUGAUACUUCUCAAGGUUUGGAGUGGGAAUAUAUUUCUCACUGCUGUCGGACAAACCUUCAAGAGAACGUGGAAUAUUUCUGUGUGGGAUAUUUAAACUCUGGGGCUUCAGGUGAGGAGCGAGCAGCAGCGUGUCACAGUGAGCCGCAGGAAACACAUCAACAUCUAAGACAUGGAAAUAAUUAAAUAAAUGAGAAACCACAACAACAAAACUGCAUUUAUUGCUGAAUUCGGAGCAGAGCGGUUCCCUAAUGGUUUCCACAUGUCGGUUGAUCAACUCUGGUUUUCAGCACUUUGCUGAUCGUAAAUGCAAAAUCUGAAUCUGCCGCUACGGGAAAAAUAACCUCAAUAAAUCAGGAGUGAAUGGGAAUGUAAGAUGUGUAAUGUGAGACACUGUGGUGCCUGCUGGGUAAACUCAAGGCGUCAUCAGACCAGAGCAAUGGAUUAUUGACUAGUGUAAUAUGAAACCCUGUAUGAUUCUUUGUCUGACUUUGAUUUGAGGGAUAAUCGUGCUCCAACUUCUUCUGCAGUUCCUGUAAUUUGGUUUUGGGCUGUUGUUUUCUUCCGGGAACAGAAAACGUAACGGAGUCUGUUAGUUGGUCUUCAUUUACUUACAUUUUGGUAAAUUGCCACCGUUAGAAGUGGAGCCACAUUAGCGGCGCCUGUUUGCAAUGUUCCCAAGGAUCUAAAGACGAGUAUCAUCGGAUUCAUUUGGUGCUGGGAAAGAAUAGAAACAGGAUGAUUCUCUGGUCACUCCCGGAGUCAUGAAGAGGUUUUUUGGUUUACCCAGACUUCUUAGAACAUGUAUGGACAUUGGUUCCUGUUUCUAUAACUGUACGUACCACCGCAUGUAAAAAUGUGUUUCAUGAUUGUGUGUUCGUGUUGAAAUGUCGUAGGUCUGCGA